This 423-nucleotide ribosomal RNA is filed under the name uncultured bacterium. RNAcentral describes it as "bacterial SSU rRNA". It matches the Rfam family "Bacterial small subunit ribosomal RNA", at positions 355 to 775 of the family's 1533-position model. The record is from RNAcentral.
UAAGGAAUAUUGGACAAUGGUCGCAAGACUGAUCCAGCCAUGCCGCGUGCAGGAAGAAGGCGCUAUGCGUCGUAAACUGCUUUUACACCGGAGAAAACCCCCUUAUGUAUAAGGGGCUGAUAGUAUGGUGAGAAUAAGCAUCGGCUAACUUCGUGCCAGCAGCCGCGGUAAGACGAAGGAUGCAAGCGUUAUCCGGAUUCAUUGGGUUUAAAGGGAGCGUAGGUGGUCUUAUAAGUCAGUGGUGAAAUCUUCUCGCUUAACGGGAAAACUGCCAUUGAUACUGUAGGACUUGAGUAUAGUUGCUGUGGGCGGAAUAUGACAUGUAGUGGUGAAAUACUUAGAGAUGUCAUAGAACACCGAUUGCGAAGGCAGCUCACAAAACUAUAACUGACACUGAGGCUCGAAAGUGCGGGGAUCAAACAG